This 812-nucleotide long non-coding RNA is filed under the name Salmo salar (Atlantic salmon). RNAcentral describes it as "lncRNA (ENSSSAG00000095454.1, ENSSSAG00000110797.1)". Lineage: Eukaryota; Metazoa; Chordata; Actinopteri; Salmoniformes; Salmonidae. The record is from RNAcentral.
GAUUCAUUUCGCAACACCUAUGGCUUCCACUAGAUGUCAACGAUCUUUAUAAAGUUGUUUGAAGCGUCUAUGAUAAACAGAGAGCAAAUUAGAAUGCAAGGAAGUUGACAUGUCAUCACUUCAUUUUUUUGCGUCUGCGCAUAAAUCUGAGAAGCGUGAGUUUGUCAUCAUUGUUUAUCUAGACAUAGGAUAGGUUGUGUGAAAAUAUUACUGAUGUUUAACGUUAAAAAUGGACCAAAAGAUUAAUGCUAAACAACAUUUGACAUGUUUGAACGAACGUAAAUAGAUUAUUUACUAGGUUUUUUUAGCUUUUCGGCGUGAUUUUACACCCCCCCCACCACGUUUUGUGGGAGCAUAAUGAACGCUAAGUACUUGGUGUUAUUUGGACAUAAAUUAUGAACUUUGUCAAAAGAAACCACAUUUGUUCCGGACCUGGGAAAUCCUGGCAGUGCCUUCUGAUGGAGAUAAUCAAAGGAGGUCUACCCUGGGGGAUGGUAAUAGAGGGGAGCCAGCAGAAGCAACAGGCUCUCCAGGAGCAAGCACUGGAGGAGCAGCACCAACAAAACCGCAGACUGGUAGCGGAGGUAGCCCAGUUGACGGUUGGGAGUGCUCAGGUGUCUGGCCCGAAUCAGUUCCUGGUUCAGUUAAGGGAGGAAGAUGACGUGGAGUCGUAUUUGUGCACCUUCGAGAGGACGGCACAGAAGGAAGGAUGGCCCAAGCCCAAGUGGGCCAGCCUGUUGGCACCCUACCUCUCUGGGAAGACACAGAAGGCCUACUUUGAUUUGAACACUGACCAGGCAGCGAAUUAUGAG